This 335-nucleotide unclassified non-coding RNA is filed under the name soil metagenome. Its description in RNAcentral is "partial contains 5.8S ribosomal RNA, internal transcribed spacer 2, and large subunit ribosomal RNA". The stretch from base 1 to 120 matches the Rfam family "5.8S ribosomal RNA", at positions 35 to 154 of the family's 154-position model. The record is from RNAcentral.
GUUGAAGAACGUAGCGAAAUGCGAUAAGUAAUGUGAAUUGCAGAAUUCAGUGAAUCAUCGAAUCUUUGAACGCACAUUGCGCCCAUUAGUAUUCUAGUGGGCAUGCCUGUUCGAGCGUCAUUUCAACCCUUAAGCCUAGCUUAGUAUUGGGAAUCGACUUUACUGUCGUUCCUCAAAUUCAACGGCGGAUUUAUAGCAAUCUCUGAACGUAGUAAUUUUUUUCCUCGUUUUUGAAAUACUAUAAACCUCAGCCGCUAAACCCCCAAUUUUUUUAUGGUUGACCUCGGAUCAGGUAGGAAUACCCGCUGAACUUAAGCAUAUCAAUAAGCGGAGGA